Molecule: long non-coding RNA, 1711 nt
Organism: Cannabis sativa
Lineage: Eukaryota; Viridiplantae; Streptophyta; Magnoliopsida; Rosales; Cannabaceae
Exons: 3
Source: RefSeq, a predicted model, not a curated record
AUGCGGGAUAAAGCUAAGUCAAAGGUGGUGAGGUAAUCUAUCUUUUAUAAUAUCUCGGAGUCGAUCAAUGUAGUCUUUUUCUUUUUCUUCUUGAGUAGUUUUUGCUUUACCCAGAUGAUUUUCUCGAGAAAUCCCAUUAAUGAAGUUGGAGAAAAAUAAAAAUGCUUAUUUAGUUACUUAAUCUGAAAAAAGAUUGCAUUUUUCUUUACAUAUCUAUGUUGAGUAAAUUUUUGAUGAAACACGUUUUGAACAAUGGACUUUGUAAGAAUUUGAUUUUGAGUGUGAGGAGUUUCUUUUUUCAAUUUUGGGUUCUUACCAGAAUUUUGAUUGUAAUGUUAGAGAAAAUUAUUGAUGAUUCAAAAAUAGUUUGUUAUGUGACCUGCCAUAUAUAGUCAAGCCAAAGUUUUAACUAAAGAUUUAAUUUUUAGAUUAAUAUUUGUUGUUUCUCAAGUUUAGUCUCUUUUUUAUACAUUUAUGAAAUAGAACAAUGUAAUGAUCCCACAAGCUUGUUGAAAGUAAUUUUGAUAUUUCCUUUUUUUAUUGUUAUUUUCAUUAGAUAAGAAAAUCAGAUUAAAUAGAGUAAAGUGUUUUCACUUUUUUAUUAUAUUGAGUUAAACGAGUAUGUGGUUUGUAGUCUAAUAUUUGUAAAUAAAUUUGGUGAUAUUGUUUAUGUUAUUUUAGAAAAUAAUUAGAUUAUUUCUAUUGUUUAUAUUAUUUUUUCAAAAAGCUUUAGAUGUUUUUGUUAUUUAUAUUUUUUAUGCUGUUUAUUAACAAGAGAUAUAUUUAUUCGUGAUAUAGUUUUUGCUAGGGGUGAGCAUUUAACCCGUUGGGCCGACCAAACCGACCAACCCAACCCGUUUUUGGGCUGAAACAAUCCUUUAUUUAUUGGGCCGAAAUUAAAUGGGUUAUAAAAGUCCCAACCCCUGAUCAUUGGGUUGGUUACGGGCUGCCUUAAGUGUAACCCAUUCAACCCAACCCGAACCGGCCCAAUAAACAAUUUAAAGUAUAUAUAUAUAUAUAUAUAUAUAUAUAUAUAUACUAUUACACAUUUCUAACCCUAAGUCCCUAACAACCGCCUGCUUUCUCUUCAUCAUUCAUUCUUACCAAAACAAAACCCUAGCAUAGGAGAACAGCUGCCCCUUCCUUCAUUCUUACAAAAAAAAAAAAUACAAGCAGCUGAAGUUCUUCGUUCGCACGCACGAGUACCACCGUAGUACCUCCGCGCCUCUGCCAUCGUCGUUGCCUUGCCGGAGGCCGUGCCUGAGAUAACACCGCAUUAUCUAAGCCGAUGCAAGAGUUUGUUGUUCAGGUGGCCAUUGAAUCGUCGAUCGUCGUAGAGCCUACUCAGUACUACAAACUCAGAAAAUAAACUCAAGGUGAAGGAAUCAUUCCCAAAAGCAAAAAUUAUUGACGUUGAGACUUGAGAUUGUUGAUUAAGGCUGAUGUAAAAAUUGAUUUAGUUUUGUUUAAGUUUGUUAUGGACAAUUUUAAUAGUUUUUAAGACUUUGGAUCACUGUAAUAUUUGAUCCUUGAUAUUAUGUUACUUUGGAUGAAUUAGUUUACAUUUGAAAUUUUAAUUUUUUCAGUAUGCAUUUGGUUACAUUUAAAUCUGAUUUAAUUUUGUGUUGAAAUAAGGGUUAUAACCCAACCCAAACCAACCCAACCCAACCCAUAAAAGAAAAAAUGGGUUGGGUUAGAUAAAUUUCAGUAU